RNAcentral lists this ribosomal RNA (434 nucleotides) under uncultured bacterium. RNAcentral describes it as "bacterial SSU rRNA". It matches the Rfam family "Bacterial small subunit ribosomal RNA", at positions 917 to 1344 of the family's 1533-position model. The record is from RNAcentral.
GGACCCGCACAAGCAGUGGAGCAUGUGGUUUAAUUCGAAGAUACGCGCAGAACCUUACCAACACUUGACAUGUUCGUCGCGAGCCUAAGAGAUUAGGCUUUUCAGUUUGGCUGGACGAAACACAGGUGCUGCAUGGCUGUCGUCAGCUCGUGUCGUGAGAUGUUGGGUUAAGUCCCGCAACGAGCGCAACCCCCUACUUUUAGUUGCCACCAUUUAGUUGGGCACUUUAAAAGAACUGCCAGUGAUAAGCUGGAGGAAGGUGGGGAUGACGUCAAGUCCUCAUGGCCCCUUAUGUGUUGGGCUACACACGUGCUACAAUGGCACUUACAAUGGGAAGCAAAGAGGCGACUCUAAAGCCAAAUCCCAAAAAAUGUGUCUCAGUUCGGAUUGUACUCUGUAACUCGAGUGCAUGAAGCUGGAAUUGCUAGUAAUCG